AGAGUUUGAUCCUGGCUCAGGAUGAACUUUGGCGGCGUGCCUAACACAUGCAAGUCGAACGGACUUAUAACGAAACCUAGUGAAUUAUAAGUUAGUGGCGGACGGGUGAGUAACGCGUGGAAAACCUGCCGUAUACUGGGGGAUAACACUUAGAAAUAGGUGCUAAUACCGCAUAAGCGCACAGCUUCGCAUGAAGCAGUGUGAAAAACUCCGGUGGUAUACGAUGGUUCCGCGUCUGAUUAGCUAGUUGGUGAGGUAAAAGCCCACCAAGGCAACGAUCAGUAGCCGGCCUGAGAGGGUGAACGGCCACAUUGGGACUGAGACACGGCACAGACUCCUACGGGAGGCAGCAGUGGGGGAUAUUGCACAAUGGGGGAAACCCUGAUGCAGCGACGCCGCGUGAGUGAAAAAGUAUUUCGGUACGUAAAGCUCUAUCAGCAGGGAAGAAAAAAAGUCCACAGGACUUUGGACGGUACCUGACUAAGAAGCCCCGGCUAACUACGUGCCAGCAGCCGCGGUAAUACGUAGGGGGCAAGCGUUAUCCGGAUUUACUGGGUGUAAAGGGAGCGUAGACGGCUGUGCAAGUCUGAAGUGAAAUGCCGGGGCCCAACCCCGGAACUGCUUUGGAAACGGUACAGCUAGAGUGCAGGAGGGGUGAGCGGAAUUCCUAGUGUAGCGGUGAAAUGCGUAGAUAUUAGGAGGAACACCGGUGGCGAAGGCGGCUCACUGGACUGUAACUGACGUUGAGGCUCGAAAGCGUGGGGAGCAAACAGAAUUAGAUACCCUCGUAGUCCACGCCGUAAACGAUGAU
RNAcentral lists this ribosomal RNA (811 nucleotides) under uncultured bacterium. RNAcentral describes it as "bacterial SSU rRNA". It matches the Rfam family "Bacterial small subunit ribosomal RNA", at positions 8 to 813 of the family's 1533-position model. The record is from RNAcentral.